UACGGAGGGGGCCAGCGUUGUUCGGAAUCAUUGGGCGUAAAGGGCGCGUAGGCGGACCUGCAAGUCGGGGGUGAAAGCCCGAGGCUCAACCUCGGAACUGCCUUCGAUACUGCGGGUCUCGAGUCCGGGAGAGGUGAGUGGAAUUCCUAGUGUAGAGGUGAAAUUCGUAGAUAUUAGGAAGAACACCAGUGGCGAAGGCGGCUCACUGGCCCGGUACUGACGCUGAGGCGCGAAAGCGUGGGGAGCAAACAGG
RNAcentral lists this ribosomal RNA (253 nucleotides) under uncultured bacterium. RNAcentral's name for it is "partial 16S ribosomal RNA". It matches the Rfam family "Bacterial small subunit ribosomal RNA", at positions 524 to 776 of the family's 1533-position model. The record is from RNAcentral.